This 170-nucleotide unclassified non-coding RNA is filed under the name uncultured Mortierella. Its description in RNAcentral is "sequence contains ITS1". Lineage: Eukaryota; Fungi; Mortierellomycota; Mortierellomycetes; Mortierellales; Mortierellaceae. The record is from RNAcentral.
UAAUAAGUGUUUUUAUGGCACUUUCAAAAAUCCAUAUCCACCUUGUGUGCAAUGUCAUCUCACUGGAGGUCACGGCUGUAACAAUCCGUUGGUCACCUUUGGGAUUUAUAUCUACUCAGAACUUUAGUGAUUUUGUCUGAAACAUAUUAUGAAUAACUUAAUUCAAAAUA